RNAcentral lists this transfer RNA (82 nucleotides) under Gulosibacter molinativorax. Its description in RNAcentral is "tRNA-Leu". It matches the Rfam family "tRNA". Rfam says of the family: Transfer RNA (tRNA) molecules are approximately 80 nucleotides in length. Their secondary structure includes four short double-helical elements and three loops (D, anti-codon, and T loops). The record is from RNAcentral. Lineage: Bacteria; Bacillati; Actinomycetota; Actinomycetes; Micrococcales; Microbacteriaceae.
GCUCUCGUGGCGAAAUGGUAAACGCGCUGGAUUCAAGACCCGGUGCCCGAAGGGCGUGCAAGUUCGAGUCCUGCCGGGAGCA